Molecule: ribosomal RNA, 444 nt
Filed under: uncultured bacterium
Lineage: Bacteria
Description: bacterial SSU rRNA
Rfam family: Bacterial small subunit ribosomal RNA
Source: RNAcentral
UGCCUACGGGCGGCUGCAGUGAGGAAUAUUGCGCAAUGGGCGAAAGCCUGACGCAGCAACGCCGCGUGGGUGAAGAAGGCCUUCGGGUCGUAAAGCCCUUUUCUGAGGGACGAGGAAGGACGGUACCUCAGGAAUAAGUCUCGGCUAACUACGUGCCAGCAGCCGCGGUAAAACGUAGGAGGCGAGCGUUAUCCGGAUUUACUGGGCGUAAAGCGCAUGCAGGUGGUCUUACAAGUGGGAUGUGAAAGCCCCGGGCUUAACUGGGGGAGGUCGUUCCAGACUGUGAGGCUGGAGGUCGGGAGAGGAAAGCGGAAUUCCCGGUGUAGUGGUGGAAUGCGUAGAUAUCGGGAGGAACACCAGUGGCGAAAGCGGCUUUCUGGCCCGCACCUGACACUAAGAUGCGAAAGCGUGGGGAGCGAACGGGAUUAGAUACCCGAGUAGUCA